This 27-nucleotide non-coding RNA is filed under the name Cricetulus griseus (Chinese hamster). The record is from RNAcentral. Lineage: Eukaryota; Metazoa; Chordata; Mammalia; Rodentia; Cricetidae.
AAACAGUGGGAACAAGUAGAAGACUGU